This 5811-nucleotide long non-coding RNA is filed under the name Sus scrofa (pig). Its description in RNAcentral is "lncRNA (ENSSSCG00000059827.1, ENSSSCG00110005074.1, ENSSSCG00130030467.1)". Lineage: Eukaryota; Metazoa; Chordata; Mammalia; Artiodactyla; Suidae. The record is from RNAcentral.
UGUAGUAAUAUUUAAUAACAUUUUAAUUUUCUUUUAAAAUAUUGAAAUUAGUAUAUAUUUUAAUCAUUACAAUGCAUUUCUCCAGAGUGCUUUCCCAAAAGCACUUUAUAUUUUGUAAUUAAAUUAUACCCACAGAGCAUGGCAGAGUUCCUAUUUAAUGCAAUUUUCUUAAUGAAAAAGUAUAAUAUUAACCAGUUCCUAAUAUCGUAGCUAAACAUUUGCUAUAUAUCAAAUGAUUUAUAUUCAUCCUGAUAUUUAAUCUUCCCUACCUCAUCUUAAAGAUGUAGAACCUGAGGCUCAGGAGACUUACAAUUUCCUCAGUUUUGCUAAUUGAAAAAUAAAAGGUCACGUGACGUUUAGAGCAUAUUGUGAGAUUAUUUUUAUAAGAAACAUUAUCACCCAGAUUUCUGUAGUAAAAUUGUCAGAAUUCCCUCCAGGACUGUACUUGGGAAUAAAAGGAAAUGUUAAAUGCUCAAAUUUUAAAACUCCAAACAAAAUAAUGUACAGCUGGCAGAUCAUUCUUAAGUAAAUUCUGCUCUCUAGUUUUGUUUAAAAUCUUGGCAGAGAGUAGCUUUCAUUCAGAAAAUAAGUGUUAGUAAUUUUAUGUCAACUUAACCCACAUCUUAGAAGAGGAAGAAAAAGUCUGAGAUGAUUUCCUUUCCUCUUAACGACAGUGCUGCCAAGACUGGCAAGAUUAGUGAGAAGAGGGUGUGCAGCUACCUGGAAAUGUAAAGAGGAGUCAGAUAUGCAUGUGAACUGUUACAUUUCAUAACAAUGUCCAUUUCAUGCAUUUUGCUUUCUCUAGAAAAUGGCCCAAGGAAGGUAUAACCCAAAGGGAUAGGCCAACCACCUGUGAAUAGGAAAGACUCACAGAAAGAUUUCACACUCAAAAUCUCCUGUGGAUGUAAUCUAUAAAUUAGAGUCUUGUUUGCAUUGGUAGAGUCCUCUUCUAUAAUGAAGUAUUCUCCUGGAAGAAAAUUCUACCAGUUAUUGCCAUCUUAACUUCAAUCCAUGACUGAGAUAUACAAACCUAGAAAAUAGUAGUAAUGAUUAAAAAGAGAAGAAAAAAGUUAUAACUGAAAACAGGUGAUAGGAGAAUGAGGUUUUUUGUUUUUGUUUUUAGUGACUAAAGUAAUAAAUUUUAAAGAACUAAAGGACUGGCUAAUGGUGGAGGAGGUCUAGGAAUAAAAAGAUUAAAUUGAUAAGACAAGUCCAGUAGAGAACUAGGGUUAUACCAAAGUCAAAUAUUUUCCAACAUGUAGUCCCCAGUGGCAGGCCUCUCAUUUUAUAGCAGUCUUAAAAAUCUCCAAGUCUCUGCCCCACCUAUUAAUUCUCAAAGAAUUUUUUCCAACUAUAUCUCUUUCUCCUCUAAAUAAUAUUAUUAAUUUUCAUCAUUGGCUGGCAGUACCAUUUGAUAUUCUUGAAUUGUUCCUUGUCCACAAGUUGGAGCUAGGGCACUGGAAUAUCAGGGUGGAAAAUCAGGGUCUUGGUAAGGGAGGAGCACGCAUUCUCUGAGAGCCAUAGGGCCCAAAGCAUGGUAACUAAGAACAAAGGCCCUGGUGAGAAGCUGAGCAGAGGCCAAGCACACUAUCCAGUUGAUUAUUAAUCCUAAUGGGAUGGACAGAAAGACAAACUUCCCAAGUCAGUGAAAAGGCAUCCAAGAAAAUCAAUAAGGUUCACAGUGGAGGGGGACGCAAUAUCCAGGGACAGAGCAUUGAGAUAGAUCAGAAAUUAAGAGUGAUGGCACAGGAGAAAGGGAUCAUUUUGGUCUGGCUACUAUUACAUCAGGUUUGCUUUGCUUCUUCCAUUUGAUUGCCAGAAAAUAUUCCUUGUGAGUCUCUCUGAAAAACCCUGCUAUUCUUUUCCUGACAGUGAAGAAGCAGAAGCUGAGCAACAUUCAGAAGCCACUAACACAGGUGAUGAACCUAGGAAGGGAACAAACCGGGAAUAUAAUUACCACUAAACUUUCUCUGACCUAGACUUUGUAUUUAUAAAUUUCUAUAUUUUUGAAAUCACCUUUUGUACCAGAACUCCAAGAUUGACCUUUUAAUAACCAUAGGACUGCCAAAAAUUCAUUGCCAUUCAAUUUCCUCCUCUGAGCUCUCCCCACCCAGUAAGAGUUUUCACUACCUAAUUAGAUAAAAAUUUCCCCUAGAAGUAUAAGAUCUACAGGUAUAAAAGUAGGGACGAUGGAACUGGUUAAAAGACUCAGGCAAACUGAUAGGAGAGAAAUCUCAAGGAGCAAUCCAUUAAUGCAAUCCCCUUGUUUUACUUGUGAAGACCUUAAGGGAAAUUAAGGUCAUGUGGUUAAACUAGACUUUAAAUCUCUCGGAUCCUGGAUUAAAAAAAAAUUGCUAAUCAGUAAGAAGUUGUUUUAAAAUCAUAGAAAAACAUUUUAACUUAAAACAAAUUACGUAAGUACAUAAAUAGAUUGAGUUACCUUUAAAAAUAGUCACAGAACCGACAGUACACCUCAGUUAGAGUCUGGUAUUGUUCAUCAUCCUGUGAGAGAAUGCCAGGCACACACGUACCAUUUGCUUGGCUCAUCUAAAUACAACUUUUUCUUCUUCUUCUUCUUGGCCACACCUGUGGCACCUGGAAGUUCCUGGGCCAGGGAUCGAAUCCAAGCUACAGCUAUGGCAACAGUGGAUACUUAACCCUCUGAGCCACAGCAGAAACUCCAUGAAUCUAACUCUUGAAUAAAGGGUACACCAAAAAUAAAAGGGUAGAAGUACUUCAGAUGAAAUAAUAUGGCCCAGUUAGAUGCAAACUAUGUAGAUACAGCAUCUAAGUUUGCUACAAAUAAAGAGAUAUAACUGGGAUAAUUCCUACUUGAAUAAGCUAUAAUUCAAGGUCUAGAUACAAUCCAUCUGUGGAGAAAAACGGGAGAAGGAAAAUCUAGAUUAGCCCAUUCUUCACUUCAGAUAACAGCAAAGUCUUUCUUGUGAAUUUUUUUCCCAUUGGUUCACCAUUGCACCUUUUCCUUCUGAGGAGCCUGAAGCCAGGGAUGAGUUUCAGCCCUGCAUUGUGGAGGAGAGGUUUCUUUUGCAGGAUGAUAUAUGACAUCACUCUUCCUUGGGCUGAGUUCGUCACACCCUUCCUCAAAGGAUCUGCCAAAUAUUUGCGCCUCACCAGCAGAUCCUUGAGGACAGAAACACUGUCCAUCUUAUUCAGGACUCCCAUCACCUUUAUUUACUAAUACUCAUACAGAAUAUUACACCUCAACAUAUGCACAGAUACAUGGUAACAACUACCUGAUGAAACUAGGGGAGGAAUUUUAUCCCUACCUGACUGAGAAGCAGACUGCAAGAGACUCUGACAUGUCCAGGGGGACGCUGGGUAACUAGAAAGGAACCAGGACUAGAGUAUAAAUACUCCUUUCCUGAUUCAGCCUCUCCUCAGCCUCUCCUGAGGCUAGUCAUAGAUGCCACUUACAAAACAGAAAUAGACGCUGCUAGUAUUAAUAUAAUACCACAGAAAACUAAAAUAAAUAAAGGGGAAAGUCAUUUGGAAAAUCAAUGGUUUCUUUGAUCUUUUUCUCUGAAUGAUUUCUAGGAUUAAAUUACUCAACUAGGUAGAUUGAUUUAAAACUGUCAAGAUAGUUUCCCAACACUGAGUAAGCCUAUACAAAAUGGGGCCCCCAGGAGCAGACAGAACAGUUUCUGUCAAAGAAUGGAAAAAUACUUUUGAAACUUUACAACAUAGUCUAACAAAUCACUUCACUCGCUUCAAACUGUAGCUGCCUCCAAAUGCAAAUACCACACUUAUCUUAAAGAUCCAGAAUAUCUGAAAGAAUAGUAAAGGUCUGCUCAGCAUUUCUUUCACAGUAGGAAACUGUAAAAUUCCACAGACACACCCUACACUGUGACUCUUAUUUAGAAAAGGAAGAGAAAGCAAAGGCACAAGACAAUAUAUUAUUUGUUUUUAGUGUUUUUUACAGUCAACUUAUUUGACUUCAGCCUGCAAGAAGCAGAAUGAGAUAACCCCAUAUAAAACUCCUCCUAAACUUCAAAACUCUCUUAAGGGUUUGAAGGCAGAUGUAGGAUGUCUGCUGUCUCUGAUAAGAAACUGUAAAAGAAAGGACAGAGCCUUAGGAAGUGGAAAGAAAUACAAAAAAAAAAAGCAUCCAUUACUCAGUUUAAUAAAACUAUUUGUAUAAGGAGAGAGCUAAAGUUCUUAAGUACAGAGCACAUAUCUUUCUUGCAGCAGCAAUCUAAUUUUUAAUGAAGGAGUAGUAGAGGCUUCUUUUUAAGGUUUUUAUCAAAUUGGAAAAGUUAUAAACCUUACUGCUCUUGCUAUUACUACUUAAUCAUUGAAAGAAUAAAUCAUGUGGGGGACAAGCUAUGAGAAUUUCAUUGGAAGCUUGCUUUUAUUAAAGAGAAACUUAUUUAAAAAACACGCUUCUCACCAGGGAUUAUGCCAAGUAUCACUUCAAACCCUGUUUCUUUGAUGAGAGCUAGAGGCAACUAAUUCAUAAUGAUGGGAGCUAGAGGCAGCUAACUCAUAAUCUAAUUGUUAAGGGUCCUUGCGAUUAAUUCCCAACAAAUUCAUUAAUCCAUUAGAGAUAUUUAUUGAGUGACUAUUAUCUACCUGUGAUUAUUUUAUAAAAAAGAAAAAUAUAUAUAUGUCCUUCUCAUAGUGCUAUAUCUCUAAAGCUGUCUCUGUUAAUGUUUGUUGUAGCUCUGAAUUCCUACCACAUUUCACUCUUCACUGAUAAUAAACAAAUAAGGAAGAAAGCAGUGGGAUAUAUUUAUUCAGAAAGCCUAUUUAAAUUAUUUAAAGCCAUAGAAUUUUUCUUUCACACUUACGACAGUCAAGAUUUUGCUGUUCCCUAUGUGUUUGAUUUACACAGACAGUAAAUCAGACAUCUGAAAUCAAUUAAAGUACAUAACCUUGAGAAUUUUCUACCUGAUUAUAUUAGGAGAACUGUACAUGAUUUUUUUCUUUUGAUUAUAAUUUAUUUGCUUGUAUUGCUUUCAUUUUGAUUACCUUUUUGAACUUUAUAAAAUAUCAAAAUUUUUAUGAAUAUCAGAUUUAUGUACCCUUACUGCCUUAAUGAGCAAAGCAAAUUAAGUCAUUGAUUGUUAUUAUGUCAUUAACUAUAAGGAAGUAGAUCUAAAUUUUUUUAUUUUAAAUUAUAAUUUUUUAAGUAUAAUUUGAAGUAUAACUUUUAAAUUAUAUUAACCUUUAAGAGCAAGUUAUCUACAAAGCUUAAGAUACUUGGCUUUCAAGAAUUUGCCUCAGUUUCUCUAACUAAAAAUAAUUAAAAAUCAUAUUCUUUUCUGCUAGUCUUCAUGUCAUUCUCAUAGAUAGUUGCACUGUACAAUAGUUGUAAUUUUGGUGUAUUUGUGAGAGGAGGUGAGCUCAGGGUCUUCCUACUCCAUCAUCUUCUUAGGCUCAUUUAUUAAAACUAUCAGAAGUAUUGUAUAUUUGGCAUGGAAUAGAAAAGAAUAGAGUCCUAGAAUCAUCAAACAUGACUCUGGAAUGGAGAGACCAAGCCAUGGCCAUAAAUCUGAAGUCUUCGGAUGGGAAGAACAACUUUGUAGUGAAGCCUUGUGUUUAAGGAAGAAUUCUUGGAAAUCUGUUUGCAUAGAAGAGAAACUCCACAAGUUAAGCUCAUUUUUUCUAGAAAGCCAGAAUCUACUAACCCAGACCUGUGGCAAAAUAGAACCUCUGGUUUCUAAUUCCAUCUGUGGCAGCUAUGGUUUUCAUAAAGAAUUUAGGCCUCUCACUUAGUCUUACAUAGCGAGGAAGCUUCAUGUGUCAUGUCUGAAUUAGAAAUGUGUCUAUGAUCUUUGAUUUCCUUUGCUU